AAUGUAUUUUGUGAUUUUAUGAUUGGUUGUAUGCGAACAAAAGAGUGAGUAUAAAUAAAAAGAGAAGGAAGCUCUUGGGACAAAUCAUUUCUCUUGGAGAGAACGACCCAACGCUGCCUGAACCUCCAGACUGAGAGCAGACUAUCGGUGUACACGCCCUUUACAGAGUGAGCCAUCAGAGAAAUACACAGUAAAAACAACAGGAACUAUGGGUGACCAGGCAGCAGAAAAGGAAAAAAACAAACAUAAAAAACUCCAGGAAAUGAAGGCAAAUCCAGAAACUCUCCAUGAGUGCAGAGGAAACAAAACCAUGUUUUACACUCCCAAUCCAGAAGUGUGGGCAACAGUCAUAAGGGAAGCUUGUUCUGAUGCCGAGGAGAAAACCAUCCAUGUCUUCUGUACCCCUGAAGGCACCAUAAAGGUGCAUCCUAAUGGAAAGUGUGUGAUGUGCUCAAAACAGCAGGGGGAGCACUUUCAAAAGAAGUUUGAGGAACUCAAGUCCACAGUGGCAGAGAAACAGGGGAACAAAUAGACUCUAAUAGCAGGUUUAAGCUUAAAUGACGACUGACAAACUGGUCAGUCAGAGCAGCAGCUUGGACACAAACCGAAUAAUACAACAACUGGUUCCAGCUAGAAGUUUCAUAUUUCACUCUUUACCACCAUUUCAGUUCCACUAUAUUAAUCACUGUAGAGAGAGAAUAAAUUAGGUUUAACAUGAUGUUUAAUGGGUAAACUGGGUUAUCUAAUCAAUGAAACGUCGGCUUUUUUAUUUGAAAAUGUAUUUGUGACAUUCUACACAAUUUUGGUGUUUUUGUGUGUUUAUUGUGAUUUUGUCAGAAUAGUAAUGCUACUAAAUCUUUGGAUUGUGUCUUAUGAUCUCAGUCUAUCUGUAGGUUAUAGAGGAAUAACACAGCAGCUUGAACGUACUGAGCAGGUGGUAGUUUGAGUCUCUCUCAUAUUUGAAGGUCAGUCUUCCAUAGCUGACAUGGUUGAGAUUCUUCAGCCACUCGAAAUAAGAUACUGUCACACCACCAGCGUUCAGGUACAUGUCCUGCAAGAUGAAACAUCAGUCAGAUCAGCUUGUUUGGACCAGUCUUCACAUUUCACUCUGCAGAAUUGUUUGAAUAAAUUAUCCUCUGUUCUGCAAAAAUGUCUUCAAUGAUGUUUUGAUUUUCAAAGAUGUGUUUUUUUCUGUACAAUAAGGACAUUGAAAUACAGUGAAAAACUAAACAGUCUGGAAAAUUAUUAAUCUGACAAGCAAAAAAAAAAUCUAAACUGGUUCAAAGAGCAAGAAGAAGCUGAAAGAUAUAUAAGAAAAUUUUUUAAAAAGCUCAGAGUGAAAGUCUGUUUUUCACAUAAUAAAGGCCGUUUAAUUAUUGUGAACAAUGUUCACAAGAAUUUAUUCUA
Amphiprion ocellaris (clown anemonefish) is the source of this 1407-nucleotide long non-coding RNA. RefSeq lists it as uncharacterized. The record is from RefSeq and is a predicted model, not a curated record. The transcript has 3 exons. NCBI's taxonomy places the organism in Eukaryota, Metazoa, Chordata, Actinopteri, Pomacentridae.